UGGGGAAAUAUUGCACAAUGGGCGCAAGCCUGAUGCAGCGACGCCGCGUGAGGGAUGACGGCCUUCGGGUUGUAAACCUCUGUUAGCAGGGAAGAAGAGAGAUUGACGGUACCUGCAGAGAAAGCGCCGGCUAACUACGUGCCAGCAGCCGCGGUAAUACGUAGGGCGCGAGCGUUGUCCGGAAUUAUUGGGCGUAAAGAGCUUGUAGGCGGUUUGUCGCGUCUGCUGUGAAAGGCCGGAGCUUAACUCCGUGUAUUGCAGUGGGUACGGGCAGACUAGAGUGCAGUAGGGGAGACUGGAAUUCCUGGUGUAGCGGUGGAAUGCGCAGAUAUCAGGAGGAACACCGAUGGCGAAGGCAGGUCUCUGGGCUGUAACUGACGCUGAGAAGCGAAGGCAUGGGGAGCGAACAGGAUUAGAUACCCUGGUAGUCCAUGCCGUAAACGUUGGGCACUAGGUGUGGGGGACAUUCCACGUUUUCCGCGCCGUAGCUAACGCAUUAAGUGCCCCGCCUGGGGAGUACGGCCGCAAGGCUA
RNAcentral lists this ribosomal RNA (533 nucleotides) under uncultured bacterium. RNAcentral describes it as "bacterial SSU rRNA". It matches the Rfam family "Bacterial small subunit ribosomal RNA", at positions 354 to 896 of the family's 1533-position model. The record is from RNAcentral.